UACGUAGGGUGCGAGCGUUAAUCGGAAUUACUGGGCGUAAAGCGUGCGCAGGCGGUUCUGAAAGUCAGCUGUGAAAGCCCAGGGCUCAACCCUGGAAGUGCACUCGAAACUCCCGAGCUGGAGUCCCGGAGAGGAAGGCGGAAUUCUCGGUGUAGAGGUGAAAUUCGUAGAUAUCGAGAGGAACACCUGUGGCGAAGGCGGCCUUCUGGACGGUGACUGACGCUGAGACGCGAAAGCGUGGGGAGCAAACAGG
Molecule: ribosomal RNA, 253 nt
Filed under: uncultured bacterium
Lineage: Bacteria
Description: partial 16S ribosomal RNA
Rfam family: Bacterial small subunit ribosomal RNA
Source: RNAcentral